GAUGAACGCUGGCAGCGUGCCUAAUACAUGCAAGUCGAGCGAACAGACGAGGAGCUUGCUCCUCUGACGUUAGCGGCGGACGGGUGAGUAACACGUGGAUAACCUACCUAUAAGACUGGGAUAACUUCGGGAAACCGGAGCUAAUACCGGAUAACAUGUUGAACCGAAUGGGUCGACAGUGAAAGACGGCUUUGCUGUCACUUAUAGAUGGAUACACGUCGCAUGAGCUAGUUGGUAAGGUAACGGCUUACCAAGGCAACGAUGCGUAGCCGACCUGAGAGGGUGAUCGGCCACACUGUAACUGAGACACGGUCCAGACUCCUACGGGAGGCAGCAGUAGCGAAUCUUCCGCAAUGGGCGAAAGCCUGACGGAGCAACGCCGCGUGAGUGAAGAAGGUCUUCGGAUCGUAAAACUCUCUUAUUAGGGAAGCACAAAUGUGUAAGUAACUAUGCACGUCUUGACGGUACCUAAUCAGAAAGCCACGGCUAACUCCGUG
This 497-nucleotide ribosomal RNA is filed under the name uncultured bacterium. RNAcentral's name for it is "partial 16S ribosomal RNA". It matches the Rfam family "Bacterial small subunit ribosomal RNA", at positions 28 to 507 of the family's 1533-position model. The record is from RNAcentral.